UCUCUAAAAAUAAAUAAAUACAAUAUUAAAAAUAAUAAAAACAAUAAUUUCUUAUUUCUAAUGAUUUUUUGGAUUGGCCAGAUAGUUCUUGGGCUUGUUUUACCUGGGUCGACUCUUCUUUUAUGUUUAGUAGGAAAGGUGACUGAGCCAAAUGGUCAAGGUGUUUUUUUUUACUGUCUGGCCAUUGGUCCUGGCUGUCCACUGGGGUUAUCUUGGUUCUUGUCCACAUGGUGUCUUUACGUUCAUUAGGGCUAGACUGGCUGGCUCUCUUACUUGAUGGUGUCAGGGCAGCAUUGGAGAAUAGUGAAGGUAGAAGCAAGGUCACUUGAGGCCCAUGCUAUGGCAAUCACGCUGUCACCUUUUCCACAUUUUAUUGGUCAAAGGAAGUCCCAGGUCAGCCAAAAUUCAAAGGGUGAAGAAACAGACUCCACUUCUUGAUGGUAUUUGCUGUAGAGAAUUUGGUCUGCCAAGCCAUUCCUCUGGAUCUUUCCAUAUGUCCCCUUUCACUGCCUAUUCCAGCCACUAAAUUUUUUCAGUUUCUUAAAUUCAGCUUGUUUUUCAGCUUUUGGCCUGACAAUAAGUAUUUCUUACCACCUGGAAUAUUCUUUCUCACCUAUUUUUUCCAGCUAACUGCUACACAUACUAAAGAUCUCAGCUUCAUUGUCACUUAAUGAGGGAGCUCUUGCUUGCCCAUGCCCUAGGUUUAUGGAAAUAUAAUCCCUCUUCUAUGAUCUAAUAAUUCCCUUUGCUUUCCUUGUCAUAAUGUCACUCAUCACUCUUUUAAGAGAAUAGUAAUAAUACUACUACUAAUAAUAACUAUUAUUAUUAUAUUUUUAAUCUUUUCCUGAUAAACUUUAAACUGUAGGAGGCAGGACUGGCAUCUAUCUUGUUCUUAUUGUGUGUGUAGUAUCCAGCCCAGUGACUGGCUUAUAAUGGUUGAUGUGAAAGAAAUACUUGUAGAAUGCAGAUCAAAUUGGGGCAGAUUCAUUAUUGGCAUUUGCUCUCAAGAUGAUCUUGAUGUUCCCUUUUGGAAUAUCUCAUUCUGUCUCCGCCAUCCCCCUUUAUCCCUUUCUGCUCAAAGAAAUAGCCUAGUAGAAGAGGACUUGGUGAUGUAAUUAGGUCAGAAGCCUUUCUCUUAGACUUAUUAAGCCGUUAGACCUGUUAAAUCACUUGCUAAUAUCAAAUGACUUCAGAAAAAAUCUUAUUUGUAGUCUAUAAAAUAGGUGGUUACAGAUACUAAUUUAAGAAAGACUUUCCCUUAGCUCAUCCACCCUAUUAUUUCCUCCUUUUCUGCACCUAUAUUGCAUUUAGAGUCAGCUUGUCACCCUAAUUGCUCUCUAAUUAUUCCAUGUGCAAGUCUCAGCUUCUCACCUAGAUUUAACUCUUUGAAGAAAAAGGAAUAUGUUUUAUACAUCAUUUAUUUCUUUCUUCACAGUGAAUACCAUCAUAAUUAGUUAGUAAACACUGGCUCAUCCAAGAUUGCUCUUCCUUCUUUUUUUACUCCAAACACUGCAUUUAGUGUUUUAUUUCAGAGUCUCAAUGAGUAUAUAUUCCAGUCUACUUGGUUGUGGUAGCCAGCCCUCAGAGCUCUCCACCCCCACCCCCAACACUUCUCACUUCUUGUAUUCAUGCCUUGUAUAGUUCAUUCUCACACUGAAGAGGACUGAUUUUUUUAAAUAAAACUGCAUCUUCUUUAUUUUGCAUACUUUAAUUUCAAAGCAAAUAAAAAAUAACAACAAAAAUCUCCACAAUAUAAGAGGAUGGACAUUUGAGCCAAUAAAAUGUGGUGGAAAUGACAGCAUGUCACUCCCAAGGUUAGGUUAUUAGAGGUAUUUUGGCUUCUGCUUUGCUCUUUUGGAUCACUUGCUCUGGGGUAAGCCACAGGAUGAAGUUUCCACAGGAUGAGGAUGUGAAAGCAGCCUUUUGGACUUGUCCACAUCGUGAGGAGCCCGGGUCUCUUGCCAACAGCUAUAUUAUGAGCUUCUGAAAGGCAGAUCCUCUAGCAUCGAUGAAGCCUUCAGAUGACUGUAGCUCUGGCCAGCGUCUUGACUUAAUGACAUGAGAGCCCCUGAGCCAGAACCAUCAUGCUGCACUCCUCCCAAGUUCUUGACCCACAGAAACUGUGUGAGAUAGUAAAGUGAGAUUGUUGUUUUAGGCUACUGCAUUUUGGAGUAAUUUGUUACACAGCAAUAGAGAACUAAUAUGUCAGCCAUUUUGCAUUCUCUGUGGACUCUUAAGAAAAGAAGUUAGCCUUUGUCUGCAACUGGAUUGGUUGAGGUUAGCCCUGGAAAAGGUCCUUCAGCCAUGGUAUUUACACAAUAAUUAUGGAGAGAAGUGUGACUAUAAUCUUUCCUGGAUGCCCAAUUUUCAAUGGGACAUUUAGUCAGAUGCUACUUAGAGACAGGUAGGAUGGUCUCAUCUCUCAUGUUAUUCCUACAUCAUAAGAUUAAAACUUUGAAAAGAUAGAAUUGUUAAGUAAAUGAAGCUGCUCUAGGACAGUAGAGAAUAAUGCUUUAUCUAUAGUUAAUUAUGAAUCAUCUUUGGUUUUAAUAGCAUGCAUGUGAAGGAAGGAGAAUUUAUUAUAUAGAAAGAGGAAUGGCUCAUGAAACUCAAGGGUAAGGAUGGAGUAGGGCCUCAUGAAGGUUCUGGAACUGGAAUAGAAAGUUGUGAGGACUCUACUUUAUCUCCUCUUUGCCUUACAUGUAUUUCUCUCUAGAUCUUUGAUUUUCCAUCUUCAAGGUGGAAUUUGGAAGCACCACAGCUUAUUAUUAUGCACAGCCUCCUAACUUAUUAUGUGACAGUUUUAGUCACACAGAGGUUUGUGUUCUAGUUUUCCCCAAAGAAUUUGGUGGCUCCUAAGCCAGAUGGUCAUUACUGAGCCAGUCAGCCAUUGCCUGUGGGGGUAUGUAGAGAUGGGAGGGUGUUGGGGUUGAGGGAUGGGCUACCAGGAGCACAUUCCUGUUGAUGGAAUGUGUGUGUUGAGGGGAAGAUGGUAAAGGUGAUAAAGUUCUAAAGAAGGAGCCUAGGGGACAGACAAGCACUUGAAAAGGUAUCUGCUACCUUUUCAAGAGGAGAGAACUUGGUUUAGAAAACAUGAUGUACCAUCUCAGCUUUAUAAAGCAGCAGAUCCUCAACCUAUUGUUAUGCAAAGCAGUGACCACUGAGAAAGCCUAUCCUUUUCCCCCACUUCCUCCUUCCUACUUAGAUCCUGGGUUUAUACCUUUUACAACCAAGAGCUUUAGUAUUUGGGGGUAAAAUAAUACUACAUACCCUAAAAGCCAAAAUCAAAGGCUAUACUGAUAAUGUACUUUUAUGAUAUUUAUAAGGGAAGUCAGUGUUGUUGGCUAGUCAAAACUGUCACCUGUAAAUAUGCAUUUGAAAGAGUAGAGGGAAUAAGAACAGAUAUUGUUCUGGUCUUUGUGAACUUAAGCAUCUCUUGGAGUUUGGGCUGAAUACGUGAGACAGUUCUGAUGUGUUUAUUUGCCACAUAGGACUUAGGGUCAAGAUAUCUGAAAUACUUCCUCAUGAACAAUACAACAAAGUAAUUUCAGUACAGCAUAAUUCCAUAGGUCUCUGUCAAGGCCUUCUUUGCAUUCUUUUAAGCAGAACAGAAGAGAAGAUGAGCAAGAAAAUGUUGUAUAGAUUAGAUGUAAAAUGUAUAAGUUUUGAAGUGUUUUUUGCUGAAAAAUAAGCAUAAUGAAAGCUUUUGAAGUGUUUGUAAAUAUUUCUUUCCACAAACAGGUAAUUUAAUGAGGUUCCAAAAUACUCGGAUUCCCAAUAUCUUAAUUUAUUUCUGUGGUUUAUUUUCUGCAAUAUUUGGCAACUCCAAGCUUCAAUGAAGUCUUUUUAUAUGUGUUAUAUGUGAUGGUAUUCCAGUGGGGAGAGUAUAUUUUAAAACACAUGGUUUAAUUUCUGUCAUAAGGCUUUUCAAUGACUGUAUGUAUAUCUAUGCUAAUUAUAGGGCUAUGAAAAGUCAAUUGUAAGAAAAUACAUGUGGAGAUUUUCACUGUGCUGGAACCCAAAAUUGUGUGUAAAUUCACACAUAAUAGCAGGUUUCCCUCUGCCCUGGGAAUAAUGUGUAAGUUUUUACCCUGUAAUAUAACUUGAAAAGAAGUUGAAGAAAACAUAAGAAUGGAAGUGGUGUUUUGAUAAAUACAUUUGCCCAUUUCCUUUGUGUAAAUACUCCCACAAAGGCCAAUAUGAAGUGACUAAUGUACAAGCACAGAACACAGAGCUGGGUAGAUGCAUACAGUUGGCUCUUUGGUGUUAAUGCAGGUGGCUCCUGCCACCAUUGAGUUCCAUACUCAGUAAAGUAUGAUGACUGAUAAUAUAAUAACCAUAAAUGAGGGUGGAUAAUGGUUCAUUGGGAUUAGGAGUUUUAAAAGCUCUUUUACACACAUUAUUUAAGGAGCACGGUCUGAAAUAAGUACUGUUACUAGACCCAGCCUUUAUUUCUAAGUGCUUGGAUUCUCAUUCUCGUUAGUCAUCUCGAUAAGAUCUGAGGUUAUCCAAAAACUCAGAGUGAAGUUGGUUCUCAGUGGCAUGUGUGAGAUUCAGACCCGAGUCUUUCUGAUUCUAGGGUCUACAUUUGUAAUUAUUAUAAAAUAUAAAUAAUUAUUUAAAUGUUUAAAAGUUGAUUGCAUUUCCCAUAAGCUUUCUCUUUUCCAGUUGUAAAUAUCCACAGUUCUUAUUAAAUAACUCACUAAUUUAUUCAGAUACUCACAAUGAGCAUCUGUUAGGUGUCAGUUGUUGUUCUCUGUGCUAGGGGUGUGUCAGGGACCGAAACAGUAAAAUAUCCUCAUCUUGGCGGGGUCAGCCAGACAACAAAUUCAUGUAAAAGUAAUGAAUGUUUGUUAGGAGGUGAAAAAAAUUUAAAUACGGUGAUACUACCCCCUUAGAUCAUUUAAUUUUCAGACCUUCCUCCUUUGCUGACUGCCUCUCCUGGAAAGGAUGUGCUGUGUUUUAGUUGUGUUUCCUGAGCACCAGGUGUGGUCUGCCUGGCUUGCCUCAGGCAGGGGUCCCUUCCCCUUCCUUCCCUUGGUUUGGUCCUUAAUGGGUAGAGGCCCUUCCCUGUCCUUGGACCCAUGUCACAUUCUUGGCUGGUAUUGAUCUUGUGGUCGGCCUAAAACACACAUCUGUUUCCAACAGGACACCUGCCAGCCAAGCCUUGUUUUCCUCAGUGUGUCAUUUUAUCAUUGAUCGAGUGAACCUAGAAUCAGUCCUUUAUAUUUAUCUCUGUGGUAUCUCAUUAUAUAAAAAACCUGCAGGGGCAACUUGAUUUAUUAGCAAACAAAUUUGCAUUUGUGACGUCUCUGUUUCUUAAUGCUCCUUGAAGCAGUGUUUUCUACAGUGUGGGGCUACCCAUUAUACGUGAGGGAUUGGCAUUGAAUCUUGCAGUGAGGUGGUCACUUCUUGUAAGUGGGUGUGAUGAGGUUGAGACUGUCUCAUUUGGUGUACAUGGGUCUGUAGUAUCUUUAAGCCUUGCUGAUCCACCUGUUCAGAAAAGGGAGACAGUGAGAUGGAGAGAAUGCCAAUCUUGGACCUUCUGCAAAUGACAGUUUUUAGCUAGAAAUUAAUAACAUUCUUUUAUUUACAUUGUAUUUUUUAGGGCUUCCUUUUAGUUAGAGUAGGUGAUAUUGAUUUUCAUUUCACAAUAAUGAAAUAAAAUUAGAUCUGUUCAUGUUACAAUAUGUCAUUUAAGCAAAUAUGCAUAAAUGAUAGGUGUUUUUCAAGUAUGUCACAUUAUAAAGUUGGCUUUUCAAUGUCUAAAGUUUGGUUAAUAUUUGUCUAAUGCUGCCGGGUCAGAAAUAGACAUAAAUCUUUUUACUAGCCGAGGUCAAAAGAUAAGUAACAACAUUUUAAAAUCUAAAAAUAUCUCACUGUAAUCAUGUAGUUGGAGCAGUGGUUAAGAGCAUAAACUUUGGAGCCAAACUCUUGAUUCGAAUCUC
Phyllostomus discolor (pale spear-nosed bat) is the source of this 5948-nucleotide long non-coding RNA. RefSeq lists it as uncharacterized. Lineage: Eukaryota; Metazoa; Chordata; Mammalia; Chiroptera; Phyllostomidae. The record is from RefSeq and is a predicted model, not a curated record. The transcript has 2 exons.